RNAcentral lists this ribosomal RNA (373 nucleotides) under uncultured organism. RNAcentral's name for it is "partial 16S ribosomal RNA". It matches the Rfam family "Bacterial small subunit ribosomal RNA", at positions 527 to 896 of the family's 1533-position model. The record is from RNAcentral.
GUAGGUGGCAAGCGUUGUCCGGAAUUAUUGGGCGUAAAGCGCGCGCAGGUGGUUCUUUAAGUCUGAUGUGAAAGCCCCCGGGCUCAACCGGGGAGGGUCAUUGGAAACUGGGGAACUUGAGUGCAGGAGAGGAAAGUGGAAUUCCACGUGUAGCGGUGAAAUGCGUAGAUAUGUGGAGGAACACCAGCGGCGAAGGCGACUUUCUGGCCUGUAACUGACACUGAGGCGCGAAAGCGUGGGGAGCAAACAGGAUUAGAUACCCUGGUAGUCCACGCCGUAAACGAUGAGUGCUAAGUGUUGGGGGGUUUCCGCCCCUCAGUGCUGCAGCUAACGCAUUAAGCACUCCGCCUGGGGAGUACGGUCGCAAAGACUG